This 443-nucleotide ribosomal RNA is filed under the name uncultured bacterium. RNAcentral's name for it is "partial 16S ribosomal RNA". It matches the Rfam family "Bacterial small subunit ribosomal RNA", at positions 338 to 795 of the family's 1533-position model. The record is from RNAcentral.
CCUACGGGGGGCAGCAGUGGGGAAUAUUGGACAAUGGGGGGAACCCUGAUCCAGCGACGCCGCGUGAGUGAAGAAGUAUUUCGGUAUGUAAAGCUCUAUCAGCAGGGAAGAAAGAAAUGACGGUACCUGACUAAGACGCCCCGGCUAACUACGUGCCAGCAGCCGCGGUAAUACGUAGGGGGCAAGCGUUAUCCGGAUUUACUGGGUGUAAAGGGAGCGUAGACGGCAGUGCAAGUCUGGAGUGAAAGGCGGGGGCUCAACCCCCGGACUGCUCUGGAAACUGUACGGCUGGAGUGCAGGAGAGGUAAGUGGAAUUCCUAGUGUAGCGGUGAAAUGCGUAGAUAUUAGGAGGAACACCAAUGGCGAAGGCGGCUUACUGGACUGUAACUGACGUUGAGGCUCGAAAGCGUGGGGAGCAAACAGGAUUAGAUACCCUUGUAGUC